UACGUAGGGAGCAAGCGUUAUCCGGUAUUAUUGGGUGUAAAGGGUGCGUAGACGGGAAUUUAAGUUGGUUGUGAAAUCCCUUGGCUUAACUGAGGAACUGUAACCGAAACUGAAUUUCUUGAGUGCUGGAGAGGGAAGCGGAAUUCCUAGUGUAGCGGUGAAAUGCGUAGAUAUUAGGAGGAACACCAGUGGCGAAGGCGGCUUUCUGGACAGUAACUGACGUUGAGGCACGAAAGUGUGGAGAGCAAAC
Molecule: ribosomal RNA, 250 nt
Filed under: uncultured prokaryote
Description: partial 16S ribosomal RNA
Rfam family: Bacterial small subunit ribosomal RNA
Source: RNAcentral